RNAcentral lists this ribosomal RNA (239 nucleotides) under uncultured bacterium. Its description in RNAcentral is "partial 16S ribosomal RNA". It matches the Rfam family "Bacterial small subunit ribosomal RNA", at positions 92 to 334 of the family's 1533-position model. The record is from RNAcentral.
CGGGUGGCGGACGGGUGCGUAACGCGUAGGAAUCUACCUUAUAGUGGGGGACAACUCGAGGAAACUCGAGCUAAUACCGCAUAAUCCUUACGAGGGAAAGCAGGGGAUCUUCGGACCUUGUGCUAUUAGAUGAGCCUGCGUCGGAUUAGCUUGUUGGUAGGGUAAAGGCCUACCAAGGCGACGAUCCGUAGCUGGUCUGAGAGGAUGAUCAGCCACACUGGGACUGAGACACGGCCCAG